Molecule: ribosomal RNA, 442 nt
Filed under: uncultured bacterium
Lineage: Bacteria
Description: partial 16S ribosomal RNA
Rfam family: Bacterial small subunit ribosomal RNA
Source: RNAcentral
CCUACGGGAGGCUGCAGUGGGGGAUAUUGCACAAUGGGGGAAACCCUGAUGCAGCGACGCCGCGUGGGCGAAGAAGUAUUUCGGUAUGUAAAGCCCUAUCAGCAGGGAAGAAGAAAUGACGGUAUCCGAGUCAGAAGCACCGGCUAAAUACGUGCCAGCAGCCGCGGUAACACGUAGGGUGCAAGCGUUAUCCGGAUUUACUGGGUGUAAAGGGAGCGCAGGCGGCACGGCAAGCCUGAUGUGAAAGCCCGGGGCCCAACCGCGGGACUGCAUUGGGAACUACCGGGCUGGAGUGCCGGAGAGGUAGGCGGAAUUCCUAGUGUAGCGGUGAAAUGCGUAGAUAUUAGGAGGAACACCAGUGGCGAAGGCGGCCUACUGGACGGUGACUGACGCUGAGGCUCGAAAGCGUGGGGAGCAAACAGGAUUAGAUACCCGAGUAGUC